RNAcentral lists this transfer RNA (73 nucleotides) under Stegodyphus mimosarum. It matches the Rfam family "tRNA". Rfam says of the family: Transfer RNA (tRNA) molecules are approximately 80 nucleotides in length. Their secondary structure includes four short double-helical elements and three loops (D, anti-codon, and T loops). The record is from Rfam by way of RNAcentral. Lineage: Eukaryota; Metazoa; Arthropoda; Arachnida; Araneae; Eresidae.
GCCUUCAUGGUUUAGUGGUCAGCACGCUCGACGCGUAUUCGAGAGGUCCGUGGUUCGAGUCCCGGCGAGGGCA